UACGGAGGGUGCAAGCGUUAUCCGGAUUCACUGGGUUUAAAGGGUGUGUAGGCGGGUAUUUAAGUCAGGGGGGAAAUCUCCGGGCUCAACCCGGAAACUGCCAUUGAUACUAUUUAUCUUGAAUUCUGUUGAGGUAGGCGGAAUAUAUCAUGUAGCGGUGAAAUGCUUAGAUAUGAUAUAGAACACCGAUUGCGAAGGCAGCUUACUAAACAGAUAUUGACGCUGAGGCACGAAAGCGUGGGGAUCAAACAGG
This 253-nucleotide ribosomal RNA is filed under the name uncultured bacterium. RNAcentral describes it as "partial 16S ribosomal RNA". It matches the Rfam family "Bacterial small subunit ribosomal RNA", at positions 524 to 776 of the family's 1533-position model. The record is from RNAcentral.